Molecule: ribosomal RNA, 133 nt
Organism: Faecalibacterium prausnitzii
Lineage: Bacteria; Bacillati; Bacillota; Clostridia; Eubacteriales; Oscillospiraceae
Rfam family: Bacterial small subunit ribosomal RNA
Source: Rfam
CACCGCCCGUCACACCAUGAGAGCCGGGGGGACCCGAAGUCGGUAGUCUAACCGCAAGGAGGACGCCGCCGAAGGUAAAACUGGUGAUUGGGGUGAAGUCGUAACAAGGUAGCCGUAGGAGAACCUGCGGCUG